AGGGUUCGAUUCUGGCUCAGGAUGAACGCUAGCUACAGGCUUAACACAUGCAAGUCGAGGGGCAGCAUGGGAUUAGCUUGCUAAUCCUGAUGGCGACCGGCGCACGGGUGAGUAACGCGUAUCCAACCUUCCCUUUACUCAGGGAUAGCCCGGUGAAAACCGGAUUAACACCUGAUGGUUUCAUUAGAUGGCAUCUGACGAUGAAUAAAGGCUACGGUAAGGGAUGGGGAUGCGUCUGAUUAGCUUGUUGGCGGGGUAACGGCCCACCAAGGCUACGAUCAGUAGGGGUUCUGAGAGGAAGGUCCCCCACAUUGGAACUGAGACACGGUCCAAACUCCUACGGGAGGCAGCAGUGAGGAAUAUUGGUCAAUGGGCGAGAGCCUGAACCAGCCAAGUAAGCGUGCAGGAUGACGGCCCUAUGGGUUGUAAACUGCUUUUGUACGGGAAUAAAGUGACCUACGUGUAGGUUUUUGUAUGUACCGUAAGAAUAAGGACCGGCUAAUUCCGUGCCAGCAGCGGC
RNAcentral lists this ribosomal RNA (520 nucleotides) under uncultured bacterium. Its description in RNAcentral is "bacterial SSU rRNA". It matches the Rfam family "Bacterial small subunit ribosomal RNA", at positions 8 to 518 of the family's 1533-position model. The record is from RNAcentral.